This 78-nucleotide transfer RNA is filed under the name Methanomethylophilus alvi. RNAcentral describes it as "Candidatus Methanomethylophilus alvus tRNA-Arg". It matches the Rfam family "tRNA". From Rfam's summary of the family: Transfer RNA (tRNA) molecules are approximately 80 nucleotides in length. Their secondary structure includes four short double-helical elements and three loops (D, anti-codon, and T loops). Further hydrogen bonds mediate the characteristic L-shaped molecular structure. tRNAs have two regions of fundamental functional importance: the anti-codon, which is responsible for specific mRNA codon recognition, and the 3' end, to which the tRNAs corresponding amino acid is attached (by aminoacyl-tRNA synthetases). tRNAs cope with the degeneracy of the genetic code in two manners: having more than one tRNA (with a specific anti-codon) for a particular amino acid; and 'wobble' base-pairing, i.e. permitting non-standard base-pairing at the 3rd anti-codon position. The record is from RNAcentral. Lineage: Archaea; Methanobacteriati; Thermoplasmatota; Thermoplasmata; Methanomassiliicoccales; Methanomethylophilaceae. RNAcentral also lists the same sequence under 3 other names.
GGGCAAGUGGCCUAACCUGGAUAUGGCAACAGCCUCCUAAGCUGUAGGUUGAGGGUUCGAAUCCCUUCUUGCCCGCCA